ACGGUUACCUUGUUACGACUUAGCCCCAGUCACCGGUUUUACCUUAGGGCGCUCCUUGCGGUUGCACACUUCAGGCACUCCCGGCUUCCAUGGCUUGACGGGCGGUGUGUACAAGGCCCGGGAACGUAUUCACCGCGCCGUGGCUGAUGCGCGAUUACUAGCGAAUCCAGCUUCAUGGAGUCGGGUUGCAGACUCCAAUCCGAACUGAGACAGGCUUUGAAGUUCCGCUCUGCGUCGCCGCAUCGCUUCUCUCUGUACCUGCCAUUGUAACACGUGUGUCGCCCCGGACGUAAGGGCCGUGCUGAUUUGACGUCAUCCCCGCCUUCCUCACAGCUUGCGCCGGCAGUCUCGCCAGAGUCCCCAACUUUACUUGCUGGUAACUGGCGAUGGGGGUUGCGCUCGUUAUGGCACUUAAGCCGACACCUCACGGCACGAGCUGACGACAACCAUGCAGCACCUCGACGGAUGCCCCGAAGGGCUGCCUUCUUUCAAAAACAUCCAUCCGUCGUUUGAGCCCGGGUAAGGUUCCUCGCGUAUCAUCGAAUUAAACCACAUGUUCCUCCGCUUGUGCGGGCCCCCGUCAAUUCCUUUGAGUUUCACCGUUGCCGGCGUACUCCCCANGUGGAAUACUUAACGCUUUCGCUGUACCACCCAGACCUCAAUCGGCCCGG
Molecule: ribosomal RNA, 671 nt
Filed under: uncultured bacterium
Lineage: Bacteria
Description: partial 16S ribosomal RNA
Source: RNAcentral